GAUGAACGCUGGCGGCGUGCCUAAUACAUGCAAGUCGAGCGAACAGAUGAGGAGCUUGCUCCUCUGACGUUAGCGGAGCACGGGUGAGUAACACGUGGAUAACCUCCCUAUAAGACUGGGAUAACUUCGGGAAACCGGCGCUAAUACCGGAUAAUAUAUUGAACCGCAUGGUUCAUUAGUGAAAGACGGUUUUUCUGUCACUUCUAGAUGGAUCCGCGCUGCAUUAGAUAGUUGGUAAGGUAACGGCUUACCACGGCAACGAUGCGUAGCCGACCGGAGAGAGGGAUCGGCGACACGGGAGCGGGGACGCGGACAAUGGUCCUACGGGAGGCAGCAGUAGCGUAUGGUACGCAGUAGGCGAAAGCCUGGCGGAGCAACGCGACGUGAGUUAUAGAGAUCUUCGGAGCGUAAAACUCUGUUAUGAGGGAAAAACAGAUUUGUAAGGAACUAUGGACGGCGUGACGGUAACUAAUCAGAAAGCAACGGCUAACUACGUG
RNAcentral lists this ribosomal RNA (497 nucleotides) under uncultured bacterium. RNAcentral's name for it is "partial 16S ribosomal RNA". It matches the Rfam family "Bacterial small subunit ribosomal RNA", at positions 28 to 507 of the family's 1533-position model. The record is from RNAcentral.